This is a non-coding RNA of Arachis ipaensis, 2058 nucleotides long. NCBI's taxonomy places the organism in Eukaryota, Viridiplantae, Streptophyta, Magnoliopsida, Fabales, Fabaceae. The record is from RefSeq and is a predicted model, not a curated record.
CCGACCACUCUCCCACUAGCACCCUAUAACCGUCUGUGCUCGCCACGUGAAUGUCCACCAUCAAAUCCACACUAUUUAUUAUGUCCAUCAACCCGAACUUAUCGUCCCUCCGCCGCGUCUUUACAAACACGAACAUAAGCCAUAUUCCGUUGCCGAGGAGACCAGAUAAGAGGCUGGCAGUAGCCACGAAUACGCCAAACUUCAAAUGUUUCCCCAUGCCAAGCGCAAUCAUGCAAGAGAAGAGGCAGCAGCCGUGCCGAGACCGUCGUCAAAAUUGAAGAAGGGGAUUAUGCUGAGAGAACAAAGCACGGUGGUGGAGUCAUGCGAUAUGCUUUUUGCGUCGACUUUGAGAGUUUUGGAGAACCCAAUAAGGUUCUCAAAAAGAGACAGCAGCUGCAGAAGCAUGGGUGGCGAUGGUGAGGGGGCCUUUGACGACGACGUUCGAUUUGACGAUGAUGUCAUCUCCGGGAGGUUUGUGUAGCAGCGGGGAGCCAUUUCGAAGGGCAACAACAGAGGAUUGGAAGCUAAAGGGGUGGGCAAUGAAAGAUUAAGAGUGUCAAAUUUCAGCCAUAUCCAAUUGUGUCCGAGAGCCAGUUUACAGGUGAAGGCAAUGUUGCGGCAGACGAUGAUGAGUUUAAUGUCGGAAUGAAAUUCGGUUCUAGAGAGUCGGUGAUAUCUGCAAUUAAAAGCUACAUUAUCUCUAGAAGAGUUUAUUACACUGUGUAUGAGUCUGAGCCGCAGACAUUCUAUGCAAAAUGCAAGAGUUAUGGUUCUGGGUGCGAUUAGCUUAUCCGAACUAGCUUGGUUCGAAAGAAAGGCUAUUGGAAGAUCAGGAGAUACAAUGACAAACACGAGUGCACCAUGGGGACGAUUUCACAAUAUCAUGCCAAGUUAGACUCAGACAUAAUUACAGAUGCUAUUAGGCUGUUGGUUGAAGAAGACCCGUCGAUAAAGGUGAAGUCUAUUAUUGCAGAAGUUCAAUCCAGGUUCAACUACAUUGUAAGUUAUCGCAAGGUUUGGUUGGAAAAGCAGAAAUCUGUCGCAAAAAUUUUCGGUGAUUGAAAAGUUUCUUACCUGACUCUGCCAGUAUUGUUGAAAGCAAUGACUGCGAAGAUGCUAAAGUCUCAUGUUCAAAUAAAAACACUCCCCGUAUAUCGUGAGAGUGAGGAGGUUCGUCAAAGUGUAAGAGUUUCCCAUCGCAUUUUUUGGAGCUUCAAUCCGUAUAUUGUAGCACUUAGACACUGCAACCCAUUGGUGCAGGUUGAUGACACACACCUGUACAGAAAAUAUAAAGGUGCACUUUUAGUUGCGGAGGCACAAGAUGGGAACCAAAACACUGUGCCUAUUGCAUUUGCGAUCAUCGAGGGUGAAAUGGCAAACGCGUGGGAGUUUUUCCUAACUAAUUUGCGGAGAUAUGUUGUUACCAUUGAUGGUGCGAUGAGAUCGGUGUUCAGAGAUGGGUGUUGGCAUUCGACGGGGUCAUCGUUGGAGUCAUAUGACGACGAAUAGGACUAAUAUAGUUGAUAACACAUAUGUGGUGGAUAACAUAUCAUGCACCAAUAUAGUUGAAUAUCACCAUUUUUUACUCCAUUAGUAAAUAAAUUUCUACCUCCAAGAUCCAUAUUUAUUCAAGAUACUAAACAGCAAAAACAAAGAGCUCAACAAGAACGACGGAGACAAAGGAAAAAAUGAUGAUAACAUACCUGUGAAUAUAGCGUCUGUCAACGCCGCGAUGAUAUACCCCUUCCUCCAAGCUGCUUCUGACACCUUGAUAACCGAAUCUACGCACAGAACCUUUUUCGACGUGCCGCCAAUGACCCACGAUGCUUGUCCCGAAUUUCAUCUCCGACGACGACCGCCAGCCACGAAGUGAGAUCAAGAGGCUUCAAGAACAACUACUCAAUCUGACUCACUACAUCUCCAUAUUCGAUUAAAUUCUCUGUUAGAACCUUAACUAUAUUUUCCAAAUUUCUUUUAUUCUUUUUCAAUAAAUUUUUUCUGAAAUCAAAAUUUCAAAUCUCUGAUCUUGUCCUCCAUUACUGUUACCAAUUGAUAUUA